Molecule: long non-coding RNA, 2962 nt
Filed under: Homo sapiens (human)
Lineage: Eukaryota; Metazoa; Chordata; Mammalia; Primates; Hominidae
Description: HSALNT0187202
Source: RNAcentral
GGGGAAAGCUGAGAGUGAUUACUUAAUAAGUAUGGGGGUAUUUUAUGGGGUAAUGAAAAAGCUUUGAAACUAGAAAGUGCUGGCAGUUGUAUAACACUGUAAAUACACUAAGUACCACUAAAUUGUACUCUUUAAAAUAGUUAAUUGUAUGUUAUAUAACUUUCACCUCAAUUUUAAAAAGAUGUUUUAAUCAUUCAAAUUUUUUUCAUUCAAUUUUCAGGAUUGGCCUUAUGUUUUGUGUUUAAAUUUCAGUUCUGUAUUCAUUCCAGCCUUUUACCUAUUUGCAAUAUUUAAUCGUUUUUUAUACUUUAUUGAGGUAAAGUUCCCAUACAACAAAUUCACCCAUUUUAAGUUAUAUAUUUUGGUGAGUUUCACUACCACAAUCAUAUUUUAAAAAGCAUAAAAUGUUAUUUCAAGUUAUAGUCAACCUCCAACCCCACAUGUUUUCUGUCAUUAUAAUUAUGCCUUUUUUAGAGUUUCACAUGAAUGGAAUCAUAUAGGGUAUUUAGUUUGUUUUUAUGCUGCUAUGAAGAAAUACCCAAGACUAGGUAAUUUAUAAAGAAAACAGGUUUAAUUGACUCACAGUUCUGCAUGGCUGGGGAGGCUUCAGGAAACUUACAAUCAUAGUGGAAGGUAAAGAGGAAGCAGGGACCUUGGGCAGCAGGAGACAGAAUGAGUGCUGAGCAAAGGGAGAAAAACCCCUAAUAAAACCAUCAGAUCUCGUGAGAACUCUCUCACUAUCACAAGAACAGCAUGUGGGUAACUGCCCCCAUGAGUCAAUUACCUCUCAUGGGGUCCCUCCUAUGACAUGUGGGGAUUAUGGGAACUACAAUUCAAUUUGGGUGGGGACACAGCCAAACCAUGUCAUAUAGCAUACAGUCUUACAUGUCUGGCUUCUUUCACUUAGCACCAUGUUCAUCCAUGUCUGUCCACAUUGUUUUAUGUAUUCGUAGUUUGUUCCCUAAAAUUUCUGAAUAAUUGAUGACACUGAGUUCGUCCAUUUGCAUGUUAGGUCAUUAGAUUUUUCCCACUUUGUCUGCUAUUAUAAAUAAAGCUGUAUGAAUAUUCACAGACACGAUAUUCAUAUGGGCAAGUUUUCAUUUCUUUUCAGUAGGUGGAGAUAGGUAGAGCUGUUUAAUUUUAUGUUUAACUUUUUAAGAAACUUCCAAAUUUUUCCAAAAUGUCUGAAUCAUUUUUUAUUCCCAUCAGUAAUGUAUAAGGAUUCCAGUUGCUCCACAGUGGCCAACGCUCAGUGUUGGGAAUCUUUUUAAUGAUAGUCAUUAUAGUGAGAGUAUAAUGGUAUCUCUUUGUGGAUUUAAUUUGAAGUUCUCUAAUGACUAAUGAUGCUGAGCAUCUUUUCAUGUAUUUAUUAAUUAAAAACUUUGCAUAUCUUCUUCUGUGCAGGGUCUACUUGGAUCUUUUCUCCAUUUUAGUUUUUGCCUUGUUAAUCUUGAGUUUUAAGAGCACUUUUAAUAUUCAGAUACAAGGCCUUUGUAGAUUUAUGUUUUACAAAUAUUUUCUCCCAAUUUGUGGCUUGCCUCUUCAUUUAAUUCACAUUAUCUUUUGAUGAAAAAAAUAUUUAAUUUUGAUGAUGUCCAAUUUAUCAACUUUUUCUUUUACAGUUUUCACAUUGUGUUCUAAGAAAUAUUUGCUUAAGUCAAAUUCACAAAGAUUUUCUCCUUUUCUUUUAGAAAUUUUGGUGUAAUUUGCUUUUAUUUUUAGGACUAUGAUCCACUUGGAAUUAAUUUCUGUAUACUGUAUAAGGUAAGGGUUAAGAUUCAUAUUUUUUCCUUACAGAUAUUCAGUUACAUUUUUAAAAGACCAUCCUUUCUCCAUUGAAUUACUUUGACAACUAUGUCAAAAAACAGUUGAUCCCAUUAGUGUGGAUUUAGCCCUGAAUUCUCAAUUCUAUUCCAUUUCCUAUUGACACUUUUUAAAAAACUGAGUUUGAUCACACACUCCUGUUUCUUCGUAUAUCUAGUAAUCGUUGGUUAAACUGGGUGUUGCAUGCCACACAUUGUAGGGACCCUGGAUUCUAUUUUGUUCUUCUGAAAUUGUUGAUUUUCCUGUUUGAAUACAUUUGAUGAGUUUCCAUAGACUCAAACUGGAAAAUCUGUUUCUCUGCAGAAUGCUGAAAUUAUUACUCAGUUCUUUUUUCUUUUGCCUGGAUUUCUGGGGAUUUCUCUUGUGCCAACAUGGCUUUGUGAUCAGCCAAUGAUUUGGGCAGAGGUUAUACAUGGAUAACUCAAGCCAGUGAAUUUUCCAAUCUCUGCUGCUCAACUCGUGCACGCAUUGAAGAAUGGAUUCAAACUUGCAGCAAAAGCAUCUCCCUCAAGGACCCGAGAGCCAUUCCUAUGGAAUGUAAUCAUCAGGAAGGACAGAGCCUCUGCCUCCCAAUCUCUGGAAGCACAGAACUUUAACUUUGAGAACUGUCAGCCAGUGGGCACAGUCGGCCUAAUUGCAUCUACAGGGACCAAUGCUCUGCUUGGGCCUGCGACAUUGUCACCUGAGAAUGCCAUCUCCACAGGAAAGUGAUUGGAUCAUUUUGGGCUCCUUUUUUCACAGACCUUUCAGGCUGAUGCCAUCUACCUUUCAGCCCACUAAAGGUUCUCUAUGACUUAGCUUUUCAGAUGAGAAUCAAAUUCUAAAUUGGCGCAAUUCUAAGUCAGAGUGCAAUAAAAUCUUCCCACCACUCAGAAUCAGCUGAGCAAAACACAACACAGCAGAUUGGAAGAGGCCAUUCAAACCAGAGGCAGACAGAGGCUGCAGAGAGUGCUGCAUCUACGGCACACACCACUCAUGUCUCACCAGCCACUCAUCCUUCUAGCUCCUUCUGGCGUGGGGUCAAGCCAGGAGCACAGUGCUUGUUCUAGUCCAGUGCCAUCCAAUAGAAAGAGAAUGAAAGCAUAUAUAAUUUUCAAUUUUCUAUUAGCUACAUUAAAAAGAAUAAAAUGAAACAUGA